CAGCUUCACCCCUAGGAGAUGCACUUCCUAGUUUGACUCCUUAAAUUUUUCUCCUAGGAGACGCACUUCCUAGUUAGAGCAUUUGGUUUUACUUUCAUCAUUGAAUUAUUUUACAUAUAGUUUAUGAUUUUGCUAACACUCACAAAAAUUUUCAUGGUGAAAACUAGGGGUAAAAAUUUUAUUAGUGUUGUUUGUCUUUGAUGAUUUGCAGGACCCGCCUGAAGAAUGGGAAGAAAGUCAGGACCCGCCUGAAGAAUGGGAAGCAAGUCAGGACCCGCCUGAAGAAUGGGAAGCAAGUCAGGACCAGCCUGAAGAAUGG
This is a long non-coding RNA of Lycium ferocissimum, 319 nucleotides long. RefSeq lists it as uncharacterized. The transcript is spliced from 2 exons. Lineage: Eukaryota; Viridiplantae; Streptophyta; Magnoliopsida; Solanales; Solanaceae. The record is from RefSeq and is a predicted model, not a curated record.